RNAcentral lists this unclassified non-coding RNA (319 nucleotides) under uncultured Trichocomaceae. Its description in RNAcentral is "sequence contains ITS1". The stretch from base 1 to 105 matches the Rfam family "5.8S ribosomal RNA", at positions 50 to 154 of the family's 154-position model. The record is from RNAcentral. Lineage: Eukaryota; Fungi; Ascomycota; Eurotiomycetes; Eurotiales; Trichocomaceae.
GAACUGCGAUAAGUAGUGUGAAUUGCAGAAUUCAGUGAAUCAUCGAGUGUUUGAACGCACAUUGCGCCCCAUGGCAUUCCGGGGGGCAUGCCUGUCCGAGCGUCAGUGCUACCCUCAAGCACGGCUUGUGUGUUGGGCCGCCGUCCGCCCCGCCCCGCGGGGGGGACGCGCCCGAAAGGCAGCGCCGGCACCGCGUCCGGUCCUCGAGCGUAUGGGGCUUCGUCACCCGCUACGUGGGACCGGCCGGCCCCAGGCUUCGUCAACCACUUCUUUUAACCAGGUUGACCUCGGAUCAGGUAGGGAUACCCGCUGAACUCAA